GCGAGAAAACUUUGCAAUGUGCGAAAGCACGACAAGGUUAAUCCGAGUGAUUUCUGCUAAAGAAAUCUUUUGCCAGUCAUAAAACCACUGGUGAAUAAGGGGUGGGCAAGUUCUGGUGU
This 119-nucleotide ribosomal RNA is filed under the name uncultured crenarchaeote. Its description in RNAcentral is "partial 16S ribosomal RNA". It matches the Rfam family "Archaeal small subunit ribosomal RNA", at positions 339 to 458 of the family's 1478-position model. Lineage: Archaea; Thermoproteati; Thermoproteota. The record is from RNAcentral.